AUUGCGAUCUACUUUUUAAAGAAUGCUGCGCUAUUGAUAACGAAGUAGAGGUUCGAGCGAAAGUCGUAGUUCAGUUUUAGUUUCAGUUCAAGAUUUAUAAUAUAUCAAUUCCAUAUUAUUCUGACUUCUCUACAUUGAAAAAUAUUCAUUUGGUGAUUAAAAGAAAGGAAAAAUUGUGAAAAUGGUAAAACCUUUGGAAAAAGCUGGUUGCUUGGAACUUCGCACCGCUGGUUUUAUUAUUGGCUGGCUAGGAGUGAUUGGAAGCGUUUUGCUUUUUGCAUAGCGGCUGUUUAUGUGGCAGCAGAAAAUGGCGAAGUGGCAGGAUCAUAUGACCAUGCCGAAGUUGCUGUUUUCGUAUUCGGCGGUAUCCUCUUGGGUGCUAGCAUCUUGGGUGCUGUGAUAUCAGGCUUACUCAUAUCCGGAAUAAGGCAGAACCGACAUUCUAUGUUGCUGCCUUGGUUGGUGUUAAGUACUUUUAGCCUUGUACUCAGCUAUUUCAAACUGUUUGUUGCUGCAACUUUUUCACGCAACUUCCAAGUCAUCUUGUUCGAAUUAUUUUCUACCGGUCUGAAUAGCUACAUUUAUUAUGUAAUAUACUCACUAUACACACAUAUGAAAAUGGAUAGCGGAAAGGGUCGCGUAUUGACUCCGGCACCAGCAGCAGCAGUACUAUUGCAACCUGCAUAUUCUAACUAUGACAAAGUCUGAGUUCGGUAUAAUUCCGUCUUUGCUGUGCGUGUAUGGGAGCUACCCAAUAGCAAUUCACGUGACCAUAAAAGGAUGCCAAAUACCAGAAUAUAUACUAUUGAUGUUUAGUUACAGUUCCAAUAUCUAUAUUAUAAGACAAGUUGCCUUAACUUACGGCAAAUUCGCGUUUAUUCAACGCUUCUUAGCUUUUUUUAUAACUUAAAACCUGACGAAAACAAAUAAUAAAAAUACUCAAGAUGUUCCUUGCCAACAACUAUUUUGCCAAUAAAUAAUAUUAGUCAAUAAAUUUAAUUAUUUAAUUAACAAUUCCAUUUCGUAAGUGACAAAAAAAAACAACAACAAAAUUUUAACAUUGCCUUAUUUACUUAUAUACAUAUGUAUAGUACAUACAAUGUCACACAAUUGCUGUUGACCUGUGGGCUUAUCUUGUUCAUACUCCCAUGGCUGACAAUAUAUUUUAUUUAAUAAAAACGUUCGAAUAA
This is a long non-coding RNA of Drosophila nasuta, 1190 nucleotides long. RefSeq lists it as uncharacterized. The record is from RefSeq and is a predicted model, not a curated record. Lineage: Eukaryota; Metazoa; Arthropoda; Insecta; Diptera; Drosophilidae. The transcript has 4 exons.